GUGGGGAAUAUUGGACAAUGGGCGAAAGCCUGAUCCAGCCAUGCCGCGUGUGUGAAGAAGGUCUUCGGAUUGUAAAGCACUUUAAGUUGGGAGGAAGGGCAGUAAGUUAAUACCUUGCUGUUUUGACGUUACCGACAGAAUAAGCACCGGCUAACUUCGUGCCAGCAGCCGCGGUAAUACGAAGGGUGCAAGCGUUAAUCGGAAUUACUGGGCGUAAAGCGCGCGUAGGUGGUUGUGUAAGUUGGAGGUGAAAUCCCCGGGCUCAACCUGGGAACUGCAUCCAAAACUGCAUGACUAGAGUACGGUAGAGGGGAGUGGAAUUUCCUGUGUAGCGGUGAAAUGCGUAGAUAUAGGAAGGAACACCAGUGGCGAAGGCGACUACCUGGACUGAUACUGACACUGAGGUGCGAAAGCGUGGGGAGCAAACAGGAUUAGAAACCCCUGUAGUCC
This 450-nucleotide ribosomal RNA is filed under the name uncultured bacterium. Its description in RNAcentral is "partial 16S ribosomal RNA". It matches the Rfam family "Bacterial small subunit ribosomal RNA", at positions 354 to 796 of the family's 1533-position model. The record is from RNAcentral.